Molecule: ribosomal RNA, 164 nt
Filed under: uncultured bacterium
Lineage: Bacteria
Description: partial 16S rRNA
Rfam family: Bacterial small subunit ribosomal RNA
Source: RNAcentral
UAGGGAAUCUUCCACAAUGGACGCAAGUCUGAUGGAGCAACGCUGCGUGAGUGAAGAAGGUCUUCGGAUCGUAAAACUCUGUUGUUAGAGAAGAACACGAGUGAGAGUAACUGUUCAUUCGAUGACGGUAUCUAACCAGCAAGUCACGGCUAACUACGUGCCAA